This 1084-nucleotide long non-coding RNA is filed under the name Pongo abelii (Sumatran orangutan). RNAcentral's name for it is "lincRNA". The record is from RNAcentral. Lineage: Eukaryota; Metazoa; Chordata; Mammalia; Primates; Hominidae.
ACAGAACUGUAAUUGCACAGAUUGUUCCUCUUACAAGAGAAAUAUCCAGAGCUCUAGGAAAACAAUUGAUGAAAACGACAUGCGUGACAUUUGGUGCUGAAGACCCGGGUCAGAGAGACUCCUUUGGGGGACCAGUCCCCUGUCCUUGCCCUCACUCAGUGAGAAGACCCACCUAUGACCUCGGGUCCUCAGACCAACCAGCUCAAGGAACAUCUCACCCAUUUCAAAUCGGGACCCCACUGGAAAUCGGACUGUCCAACUCGCCCGGCAGCCACUCCCAGAGCCCCUGGAACUCUGGCCCAAGGCUCUGUGACUGACUCCUUCCCAGAUCUUCUCGGUUCAGCGGCUGAAGACUGACACUGCCCGAUUGCCUGGGAAGCCUAUAGGACCAUCACAGACACUUUGGGUAACUCUUACAGUGAAGGACAAAAGAGCGCCACCCCAGGGAGGAAUGCCAGGGUCCCAUAGAGGGAGACCGACAGUGAAGUGGAGCCUGCCAUGAAUUCACCAAAGGCCAUUCUCCCUUUCUUCCAGAGGAAGAGCGUUUAGCUGGGCCUAUGGCUGCCUACCUAAAGACUGCACCUCUUAGUCACCCUUGUGGCUAGGUGUGGCCACGUGACAAUGGAAUGUAAGUGGAAGUGAUAUAUGCAACUUGCGUUCAUUGGUUUUAAAAAAAAUAUGACCGCCCUACAUUUCCACUCUUUGUCUUAUCUGUGAAUGGGAACAUGGCUGUGUCUGCAGCCCAACUUUGUGCAGCAAGGGACAAGGCCCUAGGGGAAGGUGGAGAAAAAAGGUGGAACAACGUGGACCCAACAACUUGGAUCCCUAUGUGGCCAUGUGGAGUCAUCUCACCCACCUGGGCCGCUCACCCCGAAGACUGUUGUGUGAGGGUGAAAUAAACUUCUGUAUCACUAGCCCCUGCAUUUCAGAAAUUCUUUGUUAUGGCAGUUUUGCCUUUAUCCUAACACAGACAGCAAAGUAUCUUCUGUGGCCCCUUGACUAAUGUCAUUGUUUAAAUUCAUUAUAAAAACUAUAUAAAUAAAAUAUUAAAAAUCAAAUAAAAUAGUAAGAUAACCCUGUGUAA